This 233-nucleotide ribosomal RNA is filed under the name uncultured bacterium. Its description in RNAcentral is "partial 16S ribosomal RNA". It matches the Rfam family "Bacterial small subunit ribosomal RNA", at positions 96 to 334 of the family's 1533-position model. The record is from RNAcentral.
UAGCGGACGGGUGAGUAAUGUCUGGGAAACUGCCCGAUGGAGGGGGAUAACUACUGGAAACGGUAGCUAAUACCGCAUAACGUCGCAAGACCAAAGAGGGGACCUCGGGCCUCUUGCCAUCGGAUGUGCCCAGAUGGGAUUAGCUAGUAGGUGGGGUAACGGCUCACCUAGGCGACGAUCCCUAGCUGGUUUGAGAGGAUGACCAGCCACACUGGAACUGAGACACGGUCCAG